GAUUUCUGACGGACCGACGUGGCCCGUUUCCGUUUCGGAGAUGAGUGCUGUGCCGAGUUUGUCAUCCUUCCAGAGGGCCGCGCCUACCGUUCAUUCGGCCGGGCGUUCGUUAUCUGGAUCGAUUACUUUGAAAAAAUUAGAGUGUUUAAAGCAGGCGUGAGCUAUGAAUACAUUAGCAUGGAAUGAAUAGGUAGGACUUGAGUUUUAUUUUGUUGGUUCCAGAACUUAAGUAAUGAUUGAUAGGGAUUGUUGGGGGUGCCAGUAUUCAGCGGCCAGAGGUGAAAUUCUUGGAUUCGCUGAAGACUAACUUAAGCGAAAGCAUU
RNAcentral lists this ribosomal RNA (323 nucleotides) under uncultured Euglypha. RNAcentral's name for it is "SSU rRNA". The stretch from base 106 to 323 matches the Rfam family "Eukaryotic small subunit ribosomal RNA", at positions 735 to 955 of the family's 1831-position model. The record is from RNAcentral. Lineage: Eukaryota; Cercozoa; Imbricatea; Euglyphida; Euglyphidae.